AGAGUUUGAUCCUGGCUCAGGACGAACGCUGGCGGCGUGCUUAACACAUGCAAGUCGAGCGGAAAGGCCCUUUUUGGGGUACUCGAGCGGCGAACGGGUGAGUAACACGUGAGUAACCUGCCCUUGGCUCUGGGAUAAGCCUGGGAAACUGGGUCUAAUACCGGAUAUGACCACUCUCGGCAUCGGGUGGUGGUGGAAAGUUUUUCGGCUGGGGAUGGGCUCGCGGCCUAUCAGCUUGUUGGUGGGGUAGUGGCCUACCAAGGCGACGACGGGUAGCCGGCCUGAGAGGGCGACCGGUCACACUGGGACUGAGACACGGCCCAGACUCCUACGGGAGGCAGCAGUGGGGAAUAUUGCACAAUGGGCGGAAGCCUGAUGCAGCGACGCCGCGUGGGGGAUGAAGGCCUUCGGGUUGUAAACCUCUUUCAGCACCGACGAAGGUGACGGUAGGUGCAGAAGAAGCGCCGGCUAACUACGUGCCAGCAGCCGCGGUAAUACGUAGGGCGCAAGCGUUGUCCGGAAUUAUUGGGCGUAAAGAGCUCGUAGGCGGUUUGUCGCGUCUGUCGUGAAAGCUCGCAGCUUAACUGCGGGUCUGCGGUGGAUACGGGCAGGCUUGAGGCAGGUAGGGGAGAACGGAAUUCCCGGUGUAGCGGUGAAAUGCGCAGAUAUCGGGAGGAACACCGGUGGCGAAGGCGGUUCUCUGGGCCUGUUCUGACGCUGAGGAGCGAAAGCGUGGGGAGCGAACAGGAUUAGAUACCCCUGUAGUCC
Molecule: ribosomal RNA, 768 nt
Filed under: uncultured bacterium
Lineage: Bacteria
Description: bacterial SSU rRNA
Rfam family: Bacterial small subunit ribosomal RNA
Source: RNAcentral